Molecule: transfer RNA, 70 nt
Filed under: Dipodomys ordii (Ord's kangaroo rat)
Lineage: Eukaryota; Metazoa; Chordata; Mammalia; Rodentia; Heteromyidae
Rfam family: tRNA
About the family: Transfer RNA (tRNA) molecules are approximately 80 nucleotides in length. Their secondary structure includes four short double-helical elements and three loops (D, anti-codon, and T loops).
Source: Rfam by way of RNAcentral
GGCAAUGUGGCUUAGUGGUAGAGUGCUUGCCUAGCAUGCAUGAAGCCCUGGGUUUGAUUCCUCAGUGCCA